Long non-coding RNA from Triticum aestivum (bread wheat), 3767 nucleotides. RefSeq lists it as uncharacterized. The record is from RefSeq and is a predicted model, not a curated record. The transcript has 3 exons. NCBI's taxonomy places the organism in Eukaryota, Viridiplantae, Streptophyta, Magnoliopsida, Poales, Poaceae.
GCCCUCCUCCCGAUUUGCUAAAAAAACAGAACUCCCGUAUCCCUAACCUCAUCCCGAUCCGCCGCCGCCGUGAUCCCAACCAUCCGCCGCCGCUCCCUGCCCCAUCCACCGCCGCUCCCUGCCCCAUCCACCGCCGCUGCUCACCGCAUUCAACCUCUGUUGCAUCCCAGCACCUCCAUAGCCACCGUGGACCAUCUCUCUCCUCGCUCCUCUCUCUUGGAUCAGCAUGCGGCGACGGAUGCUUCCGGUCGUGUGGUCGUGAUGCGGCUGGUCGGGGAACGAUGGCGCUCUGCUCUCCUGCGGCAGCGAUGCGUAUGGUGACAACAAUGUUCUUUUGUGCCCCUCCACUUCGGACCCCUGAUGCACGGAAGUACACGGAGAAAAUCACGCUCCGCUCAGCAAAUUCGUCCAUGUCCUAAGUGGCUGCUCGGCAAGGUAAUUUUCUUCUCUGAAGUUCUCUCAUGGAACUUGGUGGAAUGGAUUCACGGGUGUGUUAGGUGGAGUGCCAGUGGAUUGCCAUGUUAGUGGGCAGAAUCUCAUCUCCUGUACACACGAAUUUUGGUUUGGCAAGGAACCGAGUCAAUACUAUUGUCCUUCGGCUUUGCAAUGGUGAUUUAGAUAGUUUUUUUACAACCAUGGUGGUUUAGUUAGUUUCUUAACAGGUGCUUCAGUUAGGACUAAUAGUUGAUAGUGAUCGACAAGAUUGAAUUCUGUAGAGGACAAUACAAUUUUGUAUAAUUUGUGGUUUAGUUAGUUUAAAAAAAUGGUUCAUGGUCUCAACUACUAUUUAGCUUACUACUGUAUAGUUGUGUGGAUUGUCGCUCAUGAAUAACACCCAAUGCAUUGCUUUCUGUUGCCCAGUGUACUACAGUUUAAUAUGCAGAACUUGAGCUUUGUUUGCCAAGAAAACGUCUAUGCUAAUUCCCACAAGGAGUAAUUAAUUCCACACCCACGUAUUUAUUUCUAAUCAUUGAUGCUUCAUCUGUUUAUGCUGCAGAGACAUGGUCACAUGGAUGAUUAGCAUCUUUUGGCAAAAGCAUGUUAAUUCACUGAAGAAAUACUACUGCUCCGAUGACUAUGAGCGUUGAUAUCUAAUCCUGAUUCUUGAGGACCACUUUAGGAUGUGAUCAUUAAUGUGGCUUGAAAGCUGCUUGACAUAGCGCAUGUAUUUGAUAGUUUGCUCAAUCAGAUUUAUCCCUUCAACCACAGCUAAGGCUACAACACUACUUCAUUGAGAUUUCUUUCCUACAGGACAUGGAUUUAUAAUCUUUUUUUUCAACAAUACGGUCAUGCUUCUUAUAUUUACUUUCAGUUCUAAAUACAUUUGUGAUUUUCUAUAUGCUGUAUUACUAAACUGUGUGUGCUAAACCAACCAUAUAGUAUAUAGAAAGGAUUCUAAAAUGUUAGCUUAUAUUGCAAACUCUUCAAAAUAUGCGGCCGUUUUACUGUUUUUGCCAUGAACUUGGGGAGCUUGGGACAGAGUAUGGUGUCAAUAAUUAAUAUAUACCAGAACAAUAUUUUUGUGAUAUUGUAUAUACUGACUUAGUGAUAAUGGAGUAUUUACCACAUUUUUGCCAUGGGCUCUAUACUGCAUUUUUGAAUUGGUUAGAAUAGCUGACGCCUUUUUUAUCUUCCUUGCGGUAUAUGCUACCAUCAAAGGGAGUAUAUAAGGUACUAAUUUCAAGUAUAUACUAUUGUACUACAUUUUGUCUAUAUACAUCUACAACCAAGUAGUAUGUGCACUGCUCUUUGUGCACGGCAGUAUAUACAUCAUUUUUUGUAAGGCAAUAUAUAACAGCUUUUUUGUGAACCAGUAUACUACUUUUCUUAGUCAGUAUAUAUAUACAUAAUCUUUUAGUCGAUAUAUACUACUUUUCUUUAGUCGGUAUAUACUACUGUUCUUGAUACAAAGGGUAAAGCAGCGCGCACAUGACACACAGCAGCCGUUGUCGACUAGACGGUGGUGCCGCUGAAUGGAUCCAUCAGUGCAUGCCAUGCCACCAUCGUUUCUUAUUGCUGCCAUUGUUGAUGAGGUUGGCAGUGUCGCCGCAUGGGUCAAUCAGUGCACACCAUGCUGCCACGUUGUCGAUGAAUGGUGGUGCCAUCUUAUCAAUCGAUGCUAUGUGACUAGCUUCGUCAAUGGCUUUGCACCUUGAUCCAGAUUGUUUUCAUGCAAAACUGUCAUGUUUGCCUCUUAAUGACCACAUCCGCUAAGUCAUCUCUCUCUCUCUCUCUCCUACUGCAGCUAACUAACUGUGAUGAUCUUCUCCAGGUUUUUUGGCUGGAUACUGAGAUGGCACCAUUGUGCUGCUGAAGUUAAACCCUGUUUAUUGGGACGUACAAGUGGGCGGCAAGCACACAUGGCGGCCGGAGACAGGCCAUAUUUUUCCAAUGACUGCUGCUAGGAUUGAUGUCCUAUUGUCGGAGAAACAAUGGCAACCGUCGUCAGUCGCACCGUUUUGUCCAUCUAUGAUAUCAUCCAUGUAUAUUAUUUUGUUGACAAUCACCAUAGGUGCCCGCUCUUAAUAGAUUUCCAUUUUGAUCUCUGUAGCUUUUUAUGGAUGAAACCUUACUAUGUUACAUGCAUGCCUCAUAUAUGCAUUUUACCACUGCUAUUUUCUUAAAGAUGGUAACAUUGUCCAUCAGAUCUUUUUCUUAGUUUCUUUCCAAGGUAAUUGGUGUGGUUGAUUGCUAUUGAGUGGAAAUAUUCUGCUCCUGAGCUUCAAAUAUAUUUUAAACAAAUCAAAUCUCUCCUUUAAAAUUCAAAAAAAUCCUUAAAUUUCCAUACAUGUAAAUGUCCAUUAUGUAUAUGUAGCAUUUGAUUAUAAUAAAUUGUUUGCAGGUUAUACAAAAAAUACUUAUCUCUAGAUCUGAAAUAGCAAACAGUAAAUAAAAGCGAUGCACGCAUUGGUGUGUGACAUACAAAAAAAGGAUUUUAUAAUAACGUUUAAAGGUAGACAGUACAAAUCAACAAGUAUAAUUUUUCUGAAACUUCAAGAACGCACUUUUCUUUCUUCUUUUGAACUGACCUCAAAGGAGCCAUUCAGGGUUUCCACGAAAUAUCAUGAUAUACUAACGUUACAGAGUUCUAGACCGUGGAUUUGGUAAGCACUCUAGACUUUGAAUCACACCGUUAACAAAGGAGAAAGAUAAUAUAUUUUGUGAUGAAAAUAUAAUAAUUAUUUUUAGAGUAAGGCAUGUUAAAUAAUAAACUAGGCCGUAGUGAGAUCCAAUAAGUCAAUAGACGUAUGAAAAAACUGGUGAAUAUUGUCAUAUUGUAGAUGCACAUGUUCGAUUUCACAUUUUAAUUUAAUUGCAUAAAUUGUGUAUGACUCGAACUCUAGAGAAAAUUUUCUUGGUGCAGGCACUCAAAUCACGAGCCAAACAUUGAUGCAGGCUACUAUGGGGGCUAGGAAGCAGGAUCGACUUGAAGCCAACUUAAAAUUAAUUCUAAUGAGUAUUUGGUCUUCAUUCUGUCUCGAUGCAAACACAUCAACGUGUGGACUACAAUCCAUUGAUGCGUGGAGACCAGAUAUUCAUGUAUAUCGGCCUCACGCGUGUCUUUGCUGGAGCCCAUUCAUGGCGAGGAUAUACAUGGUUGAUGGCCCAACGAUCCUUAGGGGAUGGAAGGAUCCCAUGACUAUAGGAAUUGCACUAAAUAAACUGUGUACUAACUAGAGCAAUGAUAUAUUUCAUAGAUCUAGGAUAUAUAUGUGAAAUAACAAUUUACUUCAUAUAACUACUAGGCUGACAAGUAUUUGGCAUUC